CCUACGGGAGGCUGCAGUGGGGAAUAUUGCACAAUGGGGGAAACCCUGAUGCAGCGACGCCGCGUGAGUGAAGAAGUACUUCGGUAUGUAAAGCUCUAUCAGCAGGGAAGAAAAUGACGGUACCUGAUUAAGAAGCCCCGGCUAACUACGUGCCAGCAGCCGCGGUAAUACGAAGGGGGGAAGCGUUAUCUGGAUUUACUGGGGGGAAAGGGAGCGUAGACGGCAGCACAAGUCUGGAGUGAAAUGCCGGGGCUUAACCCCGGAACUGCGUUGGAAACUGUGCAGCUAGAGUGCGGGAGGGGUGAGUGAAAUUCCUGGUGUAGCGGUGAAAGGCGUAGAUAUUGGGAGGAACACCAGUGGCGAAGGCGGCUUACUGGACUGUAACUGACGUUGAGGCUCGAAAGCGUGGGGAGCAAACAGGAUUAGAUACCCUUGUAGUC
RNAcentral lists this ribosomal RNA (440 nucleotides) under uncultured bacterium. RNAcentral describes it as "partial 16S ribosomal RNA". It matches the Rfam family "Bacterial small subunit ribosomal RNA", at positions 338 to 795 of the family's 1533-position model. The record is from RNAcentral.